This is a long non-coding RNA of Tarenaya hassleriana, 256 nucleotides long. RefSeq lists it as uncharacterized. The transcript is spliced from 3 exons. The record is from RefSeq and is a predicted model, not a curated record. NCBI's taxonomy places the organism in Eukaryota, Viridiplantae, Streptophyta, Magnoliopsida, Brassicales, Cleomaceae.
GUCAUCUGUUUAUAAGAAAGCUGUUAAUGCUACGUACAUUUCGUCGGUUUUCUUGAAGCAUUUGAUUGAGAGCUGCAAAAGCGAAAGCCUAGAGGAGUUGCAUCUUUCUCUGGAUGAAAGUGAACCAGUUCCACAGGGUUUUGUGAUGGAUCAGAACAUUGAGAACUUUGUCAUGCACGGCGUGUUGAGCUUCAUAGGAUCAACAGAUGUUAGUCCCAACUCCUAUCUUCUACAUCAGGAACUGUUGAACUUCAUG